This is a long non-coding RNA of Daktulosphaira vitifoliae (grape phylloxera), 886 nucleotides long. RefSeq lists it as uncharacterized. The record is from RefSeq and is a predicted model, not a curated record. Lineage: Eukaryota; Metazoa; Arthropoda; Insecta; Hemiptera; Phylloxeridae. The transcript is spliced from 3 exons.
GUUGUUAUAUCGACGGGAUACAUGUCGGUUAUUUUCAGUUUUAUUCUCUUGCCUCUUUUACAUUUUGGAGACAUUUUUUACGUGCAGUAAUUGUGUUGAUGCUUGUUGUUAAAUCCUCUCCGUUUCUCUUAAUAAAAUGUCGGUGACCAAAAAGAUAAAAUAUUUGACGGUUUGAAAAUUGUUAAAUUCCGGCUGUGUUUUUUGCCAUCAACUAAUAAUGUGCAAAUAGCAAGACUAAUAGUUUUCUACAAUCACUCUGAUUAUUAUCUAUUAUCGGAUCUCAUGAUAUAGAACUGGGUGUUUUUAUUGCGAUGGUCACCUGUUAGCGGAGUCACAGAUGUGCUGAGCGGAAGACAACAGGUCGGAUCGGCUUAAAUUAUUCUUAAUGGAUUCAACCUGUAAAAAUAAAAUAAAAACGGCGUGGUGGAAAACAAGCAAAAUGUGUUCUAUUCAAAAUUUAUGUCCUGGGUGUGCUGAUAAGAAAAAUUUACUUUGCCAGAAUUAUCAUAUAUACAAUAAUAAUCAUCAAUAGUUUAAAGACGAGUUUUGACGUUUCGGACUCAUUGAAAAGUUCAUCUUCAAAGUGAUGAUUGCUAGUUGGUGACUGCAACUAUAGUCCAAAACAUCAGAACUCAACUGUAACACAUGAAUACAUCCUUGAGCACUUAAAGCAACAAGUCAAUCCAUGAAAGCUUUAACACAUUCUUGUAUAUAUUUGUUUAUUUAAAUUUAUUUUUUUUUCUCGACCAGUGUCGUUGCAGUUAUAAUUUAGACAUUGUUGUGUGUAUUUGUAUUACUUAAAAUAUAUUUAAAAAACGUUUAUUGACACUAAAACUAUCUGUGUCAAACUUAUACAAUUUUCAGUAAAAAUAGCUGAUUUUGUAAU